This 495-nucleotide ribosomal RNA is filed under the name uncultured bacterium. RNAcentral's name for it is "partial 16S ribosomal RNA". It matches the Rfam family "Bacterial small subunit ribosomal RNA", at positions 28 to 507 of the family's 1533-position model. The record is from RNAcentral.
GACGAACGCUGGCGGCGUGCCUAAUACAUGCAAGUAGAACGCUGAAGGAGGAGCUUGCUUCUCUGGAUGAGUUGCGAACGGGUGAGUAACGCGUAGGUAACCUGCCUGGUAGUGGGGGAUAACUAUUGGAAACGAUAGCUAAUACCGCAUAAUAGCAGUUGUUGCAUGAUAACUGUUUGAAAGGUGCAAUUGCACCGCUACCAGAUGGACCUGCGUUGUAUUAGCUAGUUGGUGGGGUAACGGCUCACCAAGGCGACGAUACAUAGCCGACCUGAGAGGGUGAUCGGCCACACUGGGACUGAGACACGGCCCAGACUCCUACGGGAGGCAGCAGUAGGGAAUCUUCGGCAAUGGACGGAAGUCUGACCGAGCAACGCCGCGUGAGUGAAGAAGGUUUUCGGAUCGUAAAGCUCUGUUGUAAGAGAAGAACGAGUGUGAGAGUGGAAAGUUCACACUGUGAUGGUAUCUUACCAGAAAGGGACGGCUAACUACGUG